Molecule: ribosomal RNA, 497 nt
Filed under: uncultured bacterium
Lineage: Bacteria
Description: partial 16S ribosomal RNA
Rfam family: Bacterial small subunit ribosomal RNA
Source: RNAcentral
GAUGAACGCUGGCGGCGUGCCUAAUACAUGCAAGUCGAGCGAACAAACGAGGAGCUUGCUCCUCUUACGUUAGUGGCGGACGGGUGAGUAACACGUGGAUAACCUGCCUUGUAGACUGGGAUAACUACGGGAAACCGGAGCUAAUACCGGAUAAUAUAUGGAAACGCAUGGUUCUUAAGUGAAAGACGGAUUUGCUGUACCUCAUAGUUGUAUCCUGGUCGCAUUAGCUAGUGGGUAAGUUAACGGCUUACUAAGGCAACUAUGAGUAGCCGACCUGAGAGGGUGAUCGGCCACCCUGGAACUGAGACACGGUCCAGACUCCUACGGGAGGAAGCAGUAGGGAAUCUUGGGCAAUGGGCGAAAGCCUGACGGAGCAACGCCGCGUGAGUGAUGAAGGUCUUCGGAUCGUAAACCUCUGUGAUUAGGGAGGAAGGAAUGUGUAAUUAAAUAUUCACGUCUUGACGGUACCUAAUCAGAAAGCCACGGCUAACUACGUG